UACGGAGGGUGCAAGCGUUAAUCGGAAUUACUGGGCGUAAAGCGUGCGCAGGCGGUUUGUUAAGUCUGCUGUGAAAUCCCCGAGCUCAACUUGGGAAUUGCAGUGGAUACUGGCAAGCUGGAGUACGGUAGAGGAAGGUGGAAUUCCCGGUGUAGCAGUGAAAUGCGUAGAUAUCGUGAGGAACACCAGAGGCGAAGGCGGCUACCUGGACAAUUGCUGACGCUCAGGCACGAAAGCGUGGGGAGCAAAAGGG
RNAcentral lists this ribosomal RNA (253 nucleotides) under uncultured bacterium. RNAcentral's name for it is "partial 16S ribosomal RNA". It matches the Rfam family "Bacterial small subunit ribosomal RNA", at positions 524 to 776 of the family's 1533-position model. The record is from RNAcentral.